Molecule: long non-coding RNA, 749 nt
Organism: Fukomys damarensis (Damara mole-rat)
Lineage: Eukaryota; Metazoa; Chordata; Mammalia; Rodentia; Bathyergidae
Exons: 3
Source: RefSeq, a predicted model, not a curated record
UCUGUGGAGGCCCACAGAGUCAGCUCGCAUCCACACUGUUCCCUCUUCUUUUCUGAGAAGAGGCGCCGAUCUGCUGUGAGGAUGAGGGUCACUGGAACAGCUGGUCAGUCGGCGCCGGGAGAGCCCAGAACCCUCGCCGUCGUGAGGGAGACGUCCCAGAGCCGGUGUGCCGAGGGUGCGGCCGGACCUGCCCCGUGUGACAUCCCCACCCAUCCGCCUGCUUCGUGCUCCUGCAAAGUGCCGAGGCGGGAACUCGGGAACUUAUUCCUGAUACCAAGGAGCUACACUUCUGGUCCUAACCGCCAACUGUGAUUUAAAAAACCGAGCCCGACGCGUGUUCCUUAGUUUCCCAGAGAGGAAGCUGCCGACGAUAAAAACAAAGGCAGCCCAUCUGAUGUGUUUGAUGUAGAUCCAGUGUCCCAAGCACUAUCUCAACUCAUGGUUGAAUGCUUACAUCGGAAGAGUUACUACACUGACAGACACAUUGCUACAACUCCACCUCCGAUCCUCUCCCCCUUCAUACCACGCUCAGCCCAUCAUUGUGGCCACUUUCUGGAGCAGUUCCGAAAGUCCUCCCUCCUGAGAGUCUUUACAAAGUGUGGUCGCAGCUGCUGCCUCCGAGCGCCAUCCAGUGAAAAGCAGGCUCCUAAAGACUUGACUGCGUCUUCAUUCACCCCGCUCACCAGCGCUGGCACUGUGUGACUUCGGCUCCUCCCCAAAGUCAAGAUGGCCAUGGAAAGGAAAUAUUU